RNAcentral lists this ribosomal RNA (900 nucleotides) under uncultured Candidatus Solibacter sp. RNAcentral's name for it is "bacterial SSU rRNA". It matches the Rfam family "Bacterial small subunit ribosomal RNA", at positions 606 to 1504 of the family's 1533-position model. The record is from RNAcentral. Lineage: Bacteria; Pseudomonadati; Acidobacteriota; Terriglobia; Bryobacterales; Solibacteraceae.
GGCUCAACUGGGAGGGUGCGCCGAAUACUGAGUGACUCGAGUGCGGGAGAGGAGAGUGGAAUUCCUGGUGUAGCGGUGAAAUGCGUAGAUAUCAGGAGGAACACCGGCGGUGUAGACGGCUCUCUGGACCGUAACUGACGCUGAGACACGAAAGCGUGGGUAGCAAACAGGAUUAGAUACCCUGGUAGUCCACGCCCUAAACGAUGCAUAUUUGGUGUGGGUCAUUCAGUUGAUCCGUGCCGGAGCUAACGCGUUAAAUAUGCCGCCUGGGGAGUACAGUCGCAAGGCUGAAACUCAAAGGAAUUGACGGGGGCCCGCACAAGCGGUGGAGCAUGUGGUUCAAUUCGACGCAACGCGAAGAACCUUACCUGGGCUCGAACGGCUGGUUACCGGCGGUGGAAACAUCGCUACCCCGCAAGGGGGUCCAGUCGAGGUGCUGCAUGGCUGUCGUCAGCUCGUGUCGUGAGAUGUUGGGUUAAGUCCCGCAACGAGCGCAACCCUUGUCCUGUGUUGCCAUCAUUCAGUUGGGAACUCGCAGGAGACCGCCAGCGAUAAGCUGGAGGAAGGUGGGGAUGACGUCAAGUCCUCAUGGCCUUUAUGUCCAGGGCUACACACGUGCUACAAUGGGCGGUACAAAGCGCAGCAAACCCGCGAGGGGGAGCCAAUCGCAAAAAACCGUUCUCAGUUCGGAUUGCAGGCUGCAACUCGCCUGCAUGAAGCUGGAAUCGCUAGUAAUGGCAGAUCAGCACGCUGCCGUGAAUACGUUCCCGGGCCUUGUACACACCGCCCGUCACAUCACGAAAGUGGAUUGUACUAGAAGUCUGUACGCUGACCCGCAAGGGAGGCAGCGGCCCAAGGUAUGAUUCAUGAUUGGGGUGAAGUCGUAACAAGGUAACCGUA